AACGUAGGAGACGAGCGUUAUCCGGAUUUACUGGGCGUAAAGCGUGUGCAGGCGGUUUGGCAAGUUGGAUGUGAAAUCUCUCGGCUCAACUGAGAGAGGUCGUUCAAUACUACCGAACUUGAGGUCAUCAGAGGAAAAUGGAAUUCCCGGUGUAGUGGUGAAAUGCGUAGAUAUCGGGAGGAACACCAGUGGCGAAAGCGGUUUUCUGGGAUGAUACUGACGCUCAUACACGAAAGCUAGGGGAG
This 245-nucleotide ribosomal RNA is filed under the name uncultured bacterium. RNAcentral's name for it is "partial 16S ribosomal RNA". It matches the Rfam family "Bacterial small subunit ribosomal RNA", at positions 524 to 768 of the family's 1533-position model. The record is from RNAcentral.